CAUGCCGGGUAUCUCCGCCAGUCCGCGAGGUUCGCGCACUGGCGCUUUCGUG
This is a non-coding RNA of Azospirillum humicireducens, 52 nucleotides long. The record is from Rfam. Lineage: Bacteria; Pseudomonadati; Pseudomonadota; Alphaproteobacteria; Rhodospirillales; Azospirillaceae.